UUUCCGUAGGUGAACCUGCGGAAGGAUCAUUAACACGUAUCCACGUAUCAAACCAACGUUGAAAUGUUGUCGUGUUGAAGUAGGAGCGAAAGGCUAUGUGGUGAGGAAAGAGGCAGUUUUUCUGCUUUUCUCUCGUCUUCGUUUCCACGAACUCUUUUUUCGGAAGGGGCUCAUGCUUCAGCAAUGACUAUCGCCACGGUUUAUUUAACCACUAUGAAUUUUUGUACUAAUAUUUUCUUAACGUGAGUGUUUUUCGAAACCUCCUUUAAGUAUAAUUACGAAACUUUGAACAACUCUUAGCAACGGAUAUCUUGGUUUCC
This 320-nucleotide unclassified non-coding RNA is filed under the name soil metagenome. Its description in RNAcentral is "partial contains small subunit ribosomal RNA, internal transcribed spacer 1, and 5.8S ribosomal RNA". The record is from RNAcentral.